GCGCUCGCUUCGGCAGCACAUAUACUAAAAUUGGGUUGAUACAGAGAAGAUUAGCAUGGCCCCUGCACAAGGAUAACACGCAAAUUUGUGAAGCAUUCCAUAUUUUU
This 107-nucleotide small nuclear RNA is filed under the name Suricata suricatta (meerkat). The record is from RNAcentral. Lineage: Eukaryota; Metazoa; Chordata; Mammalia; Carnivora; Herpestidae.